UACGUAGGUGGCGAGCGUUAUCCGGAAUUAUUGGGCGUAAAGAGCGCGCAGGUGGUUGAUUAAGUCUGAUGUGAAAGCCCACGGCUUAACCGUGGAGGGUCAUUGGAAACUGGUCAACUUGAGUGCAGAAGAGGGAAGUGGAAUUCCAUGUGUAGCGGUGAAAUGCGUAGAGAUAUGGAGGAAUACCGAAGGCGAAGGCAGUCUUCCAAGCCGUUAUUGACGCUCAACUGCGAAGGUGUGGGUAUCAAACAGGAUUAGAUACCCG
This 265-nucleotide ribosomal RNA is filed under the name uncultured prokaryote. RNAcentral's name for it is "partial 16S ribosomal RNA". It matches the Rfam family "Bacterial small subunit ribosomal RNA", at positions 524 to 788 of the family's 1533-position model. The record is from RNAcentral.